CAGGAGGAUAGCCCGGGGAAACUCGGAUUAAUACUCCAUAAGAUUUUGAUUGGCAUCAAUUAGGAUUGAAAGAUUUAUUGGAUAAGGAUAGGCAUGCGUCAGAUUAGUUAGUUGGUAGUGUAACGGACUACCAAGGCGAUGAUCUGUAGGGGGCCUGAGAGGGUGAACCCCCACACUGGUACUGAGACACGGACCAGACUCCUACGGGAGGCAGCAGUGAGGAAUAUUGGACAAUGGAGGGGACUCUGAUCCAGCCAUCCCGCGUGCAGGAAGACGGCCUUAUGGGUUGUAAACUGCUUUUGUAUGGGGAUAAAUCUACUUACGUGUAGGUAGUUGAAGGUACCAUACGAAUAAGCAUCGGCUAACUCCGUGCCAGCAGCCGCGGUAAUACGGAGGAUGCAAGCGUUAUCCGGAUUCAUUGGGUUUAAAGGGUCCGUAGGCGGGCUAAUAAGUCAGUGGUGAAAUUUUGUCGCUUAACGAUAAAACUGCCAUUGAUACUGUUAGUCUUGAGUGAUAUUGAAGUAGCUGGAAUGUGUAGUGUAGCGGUGAAAUGCAUAGAUAUUACACAGAACACCGAUUGCGAAGGCAGGUUACUAAGUAUUAACUGACGCUGAAGGACGAAAGCGUGGGGAGCGAACAGGAUUAGAUACCCUGGUAGU
RNAcentral lists this ribosomal RNA (659 nucleotides) under Ornithobacterium rhinotracheale. RNAcentral's name for it is "bacterial SSU rRNA". It matches the Rfam family "Bacterial small subunit ribosomal RNA", at positions 136 to 794 of the family's 1533-position model. Lineage: Bacteria; Pseudomonadati; Bacteroidota; Flavobacteriia; Flavobacteriales; Weeksellaceae. The record is from RNAcentral.